Molecule: ribosomal RNA, 253 nt
Filed under: uncultured bacterium
Lineage: Bacteria
Description: partial 16S ribosomal RNA
Rfam family: Bacterial small subunit ribosomal RNA
Source: RNAcentral
UACGUAGGGGGCUAGCGUUGUCCGGAAUCAUUGGGCGUAAAGCGCGUGUAGGCGGUCCGGUAAGUCCGCUGUGAAAGUCGGGGGCUCAACCCUCGGAUGCCGGUGGAUACUGUCGGGCUUGAGUACGGAAGAGGCGAGUGGAAUUCCUGGUGUAGCGGUGAAAUGCGCAGAUAUCAGGAGGAAUACCUAUGGCGAAAGCAGGUUUCUGGGCCACCACUGACGCUGAUCUGCGAAAGCUAGGGGAGCAAACAGG